CUACGGGGCGCUCCAGUGAGGAAUAUUGCGCAAUGGGCGAAAGCCUGACGCAGCAUCGCCGUGUGAGUGACGAAGGCCUUCGGGUUGUAAAGCUCUGUCGGGAGGGAAGAAGGCCACUUCGGUGGCUUGACGGUACCUCGCAAGAAAGCACCGGCUAACUCCGUGCCAGCAGCCGCGGUAAUACGGAGGGUGCAAGCGUUGCUCGGAAUCAUUGGGCGUAAAGCGCGUGUAGGCGGCCCGUCAAGUCGGAUGUGAAAGCCCGGGGCUUAACUCCGGAACUGCAUCCGAUACUGUCGGGCUUGAGUACGGGAGAGGGAAGCGGAAUUCCCAGUGUAGAGGUGAAAUUCGUUGAUAUUGGGAGGAACACCCGUGGCGAAAGCGGCUUCCUGGACCGAUACUGACGCUGAGACGCGAAAGCGUGGGGAGCAAACAGGAUUAGAUACCCCUGUAGUC
This 453-nucleotide ribosomal RNA is filed under the name uncultured bacterium. RNAcentral's name for it is "partial 16S ribosomal RNA". It matches the Rfam family "Bacterial small subunit ribosomal RNA", at positions 339 to 795 of the family's 1533-position model. The record is from RNAcentral.